This 463-nucleotide ribosomal RNA is filed under the name uncultured bacterium. Its description in RNAcentral is "partial 16S ribosomal RNA". It matches the Rfam family "Bacterial small subunit ribosomal RNA", at positions 28 to 507 of the family's 1533-position model. The record is from RNAcentral.
GAUGAACGCUGACAGAAUGCUUAACACAUGCAAGUCGAUGGGGAAGUGGUGCUUGCACCAUGGCAACCAUGGCGGACGGGUGAGUAACGCGUAAGGGACUUACCUGCAGGACUGGGAUAACAGGGGGAAACUCCUGACAAGACCGGAUAAUGUCACGGAGCUGCAUGGCUUUAUGAUGAAAGGAGACGCCUGCGGAGAGCCUUGCGUCCUAUUAGCUAGUUGGUGAGGUAAUGGCUCACCAAGGCGAAGAUAGGUAGCCGGCCUGAGAGGGUGGACGGCCACAAGGGGACUGAGAUACGGCCCUUACUCCUACGGGAGGCAGCAGUGGGGAAUAUUGGACAAUGGGGGCAACCCUGAUCCAGCAAUUCUGUGUGCACGAAGAAGGUUUUCGGAUUGUAAAGUGCUUUCAGCAGGGAAGAAGUAAGUGACGGUACCUGCAGAAGAAGCGACGGCUAAAUACGUG